UACGUAGGGCGCGAGCGUUAUCCGGAAUUAUUGGGCGUAAAGAGCUCGUAGGCGGUUUGUCACGUCUGCUGUGAAAACUGGAGGCUCAACCUCCAGCCUGCAGUGGGUACGGGCAGACUAGAGUGCGGUAGGGGAGAUCGGAAUUCCUGGUGUAGCGGUGGAAUGCGCAGAUAUCAGGAGGAACACCGAUGGCGAAGGCAGAUCUCUGGGCCGUAACUGACGCUGAGGAGCGAAAGCAUGGGGAGCGAACAGG
This 253-nucleotide ribosomal RNA is filed under the name uncultured bacterium. RNAcentral's name for it is "partial 16S ribosomal RNA". It matches the Rfam family "Bacterial small subunit ribosomal RNA", at positions 524 to 776 of the family's 1533-position model. The record is from RNAcentral.